CCUACGGGGGGCUGCAGUAAGGAAUAUUGGUCAAUGGGCGCAAGCCUGAACCAGCCAUGCCGCGUGAAGGAUGACGGCCCUAUGGGUUGUAAACUUCUUUUGUACGGGAAAAAACCACCGGUCGUGUAUCGGUGCUGAUGGUACCGUAAGAAUAAGCAUCGGCUAACUCCGUGCCAGCAGCCGCGGUAAUACGGAGGAUGCAAGCGUUAUCCGGAUUCAUUGGGUUUAAAGGGUGCGCAGGCGGAGUGAUAAGUCAGUGGUGAAAGCCUACAGCUUAACUGUAGAACUGCCAUUGAUACUGUCAUUCUUGAGUAUUGUUGAGGUAGGCGGAAUGUGUCAUGUAGCGGUGAAAUGCUUAGAUAUGACACAGAACACCGAUCGCGAAGGCAGCUUACCAAGCUAUAACUGACGCUCAUGCACGAAAGCGUGGGGAUCAAACAGGAUUAGAUACCCGUGUAGUC
This 461-nucleotide ribosomal RNA is filed under the name uncultured Sphingobacteriales bacterium. Its description in RNAcentral is "bacterial SSU rRNA". It matches the Rfam family "Bacterial small subunit ribosomal RNA", at positions 338 to 795 of the family's 1533-position model. The record is from RNAcentral. Lineage: Bacteria; Pseudomonadati; Bacteroidota; Sphingobacteriia; Sphingobacteriales.